AGUUACUGUAGAAGUGUACCAAACAACAAGUAUUACAAUUCCUGUCUGCGGAGCAUGUGGUAAGGGGUGCUCCCACAAUGCACUACUUUUGGUCAGUAGGCUACUCGUUCCGCGGUGGAGGGUUAUGUAUAGAUUAUCUGUGUGAAUCUGUGCGUGUUUUGCGUACCGUGGGGUCCGACAGGUGGAUGAGUGUUCUGAACGAUCUGGUAGUGCGCAUGGUGAGGUCUCAAUGCCUGUAUCACCACUUUCACUGCACCACCACCACCACCACCACCACCACCACCACCACCUCACGUGCCGGCAUGCCCUGAGCCAUCCUUGCUUCAUGCUGUCUGAAGAUGGCUGGCAUGUGUUGGUGGAGAGUGAAGGAAACCCAGACGAACAGAAGUCCUAAGUCGGAGCAGGUUGACCGAUUCCACGAGAGUCUGAUCCGGAUGAAUGCUUGCAUGGAGCAAUGGAAGACAAAAUCUGCAGUAGACGGGCCAGGAUGGCGUUUCACGCACCAGAAAAUUCCAGCGUGUUUCAGCAGCUACAGUGACAGGCAGGACAGUGUGUAGCGCUCACCGACCACGAGCAGCUAAAAAAGGCCAGCAACACAUGCAUAUGCUGAUUGUGUAUUACGACAUUUUUAUGUAAUUGUGUCCAAAAUCACGCUUCCAGUAUUUUUUAUUACAAAUACUGAAAAGUCCUGGUGGACACUGGAUGGCACAGGUGUGGCCGCGCCCUGUAUGCAGCGUGCAUCCCAGCACGUCCUUCAGUGGAGGUGCUUUCUUCGUUCCCCUGGCUACAUUAUUUAAUGGUGAGCUAAUCUACUGCUUAUGUAACGAGGUUCUUAGAGUGGAGCAAUGUUAAUAAGAAAAAUGAACUACCGAAAGAUAAAUGCUGCUGCCAACGUCCGAGGUAUUUAAUAAAGAAUAAAGAAACGUGGCUUCAUGUUGA
Long non-coding RNA from Scylla paramamosain (green mud crab), 939 nucleotides. RefSeq lists it as uncharacterized. The record is from RefSeq and is a predicted model, not a curated record. Lineage: Eukaryota; Metazoa; Arthropoda; Malacostraca; Decapoda; Portunidae. The transcript is spliced from 4 exons.